UACGUAGGUGGCAAGCGUUAUCCGGAAUUAUUGGGCGUAAAGGGUGCGUAGGCGGUUUAUUAAGUCUAUGGUGAAAGUGCGGGGCUCAACCCCGUAUGGCCAUAGAAACUGGUAGACUUGAGUGCAGGAGAGGGCAAUGGAAUUCCAUGUGUAGCGGUAAAAUGCGUAGAUAUAUGGAGGAACACCAGUGGCGAAGGCGGUUGCCUGGCCUGUAACUGACGCUGAAGCACGAAAGCGUGGGGAGCAAAUAGGAUUAGAUACCCUAGUAGUCCACGCCGUAAACGAUGAAUACUAAGUGUUGGAGAAAUUCAGUGCUGCAGUUAACGCAAUAAGUAUUCCGCCUGGGGAGUAUGCACGCAAGUGUGAAACUCAAAGGAAUUGACGGGACCCCGCACAAGCGGUGGAUUAUGUUGUUUAAUUCGACGCAACGCGAAGAACCUUACCAGGCCUUGACAUACUCAGCAAAGCCCUAGAGAUAGGGUGGAGGUUAUCUGGGAUACAGGUGGUGCAUGGUUGUCGUCAGCUCGUGUCGUGAGAUGUUGGGUUAAGUCCCGCAACGAGCGCAACCCUUGUCUUUAGUUACCAUCAUUCAGUUGGGGACUCUAGAGAGACUGCCGGUGAUAAACCGGAGGAAGGUGGGGAUGACGUCAAAUCAUCAUGCCCCUUAUGGCCUGGGCUACAAACGUAAUACAAUGGCGUAUACAAAGGGAUGCGAAAGGGUGACCUGGAGCAAAACUCAUAAAGUACGUCUCAGUUCAGAUUGGAGUCUGCAACUCGACUCCAUGAAGGCGGAAUCGCUAGUAAUCGCGGAUCAGCAUGCCGCGGUGAAUACGUUCUCGGGGUU
This 844-nucleotide ribosomal RNA is filed under the name uncultured bacterium. RNAcentral's name for it is "SSU rRNA". It matches the Rfam family "Bacterial small subunit ribosomal RNA", at positions 524 to 1381 of the family's 1533-position model. The record is from RNAcentral.